GAUUAACGCUGGCGGCGUGCCUAACACAUGCAAGUCGAGCGGCAGCGAGUUUUACACUGACUUCUGGAAGCUUCUAGUUGAAAGAGAAGAUUUAUUCAAGAAUUUUGUGUAAAAUGUCGGCGAGCGGCGGACGGCUGAGUAACGCGUGGGAACGUACCCCAAAGUGAGGGAUAACGCAUCGAAAGGUGUGCUAAUACCGCAUAUGGUCUUCGGAUUAAAGCCUUCGGGCGCUUUGGGAACGGCCUGCGUAAGAUUAGAUAGUUGGUGGGGUAAUGGCCUACCAAGUCGACGAUCUUUAACUGGUUUGAGAGGAUGAUCAGUCAGACUGGAACUGAGACACGGUCCAGACUCCUACGGGAGGCAGCAGUGAGGAAUCUUCCACAAUGGGCGAAAGCCUGAUGGAGCAACGCCGCGUGCAGGAUGAAGGCCUUCGGGUUGUAAACUGCUUUUAUAAGUGAGGAUUAUGACAGUAACCUAUGAAUAAGGAUCGGCUAACUACGUG
RNAcentral lists this ribosomal RNA (502 nucleotides) under uncultured bacterium. RNAcentral's name for it is "partial 16S ribosomal RNA". It matches the Rfam family "Bacterial small subunit ribosomal RNA", at positions 28 to 507 of the family's 1533-position model. The record is from RNAcentral.